CUACGGGGCCUGGGCGCAGCCUGAUCAGCCAUGCCGCGUGCAGUGACGACGGCCUUCCGGUUUGUAAGCUGUUUUUCCCGGGGAAAAAUAAUCCCGACUAGUCGGGAGACGACAGUACCCCGGGAAUAAAGAUCGGCUAACUCCGUGCCAUCCCCCGCGGUAAUACAGAAGAUCCGAGCGUUAUCCUGAUUUACAGUGUUUAAAGGGUGCGUAGGCGGGUCGUUAAGUCAGCGGUGAAAUGCGGGGGCUCAACCUUCGAGCUGCCGCCGAAACUGGCGACCUUGAAUUCAGUCGAGGCCGGCGGAAUGCGUGGUGUAGCGGUGAAAUGCUUAGAUAUCACACGGAACGCCGAUUGCGAAGGCAGCUGGCCGGGCCGAGAUUGACGCUGAGGCACGAAAGCGUGGGGAUCAAACAGGAUUAGAUACCCUGGUAGUCCACGCUGUAAACGAUGAUCACUGGAUGUUGGCGAUACACCGUCAGCGUCUGAGCGAAAGCAUUAAGUGAUCCACCUGGGGAGUACGGUCGCAAGAUUGAAACUCAAAUGAAUUGACGGAACGCGCGGGGGCCCCCGGGGAAC
Molecule: ribosomal RNA, 577 nt
Filed under: bacterium enrichment culture clone LH06
Lineage: Bacteria
Description: bacterial SSU rRNA
Rfam family: Bacterial small subunit ribosomal RNA
Source: RNAcentral